AUAAAUUCAUCUUAAUAUUGUCUUGAUAACAAACAACAUAACAACCUUGACUGCCUUGACAAAGUAACCAGAAAAAAAAAGAGUAUUUAUUAGAAGAGUAUGUAGAACAGGAAAAAGAGUUUGAACAACCAGACCUUAGGCAGGUGGCAAGGUGAGGGUGGGGUGGGGGCAAGACAUCUGUGGGGUUCUCACCAAAGUUUAUAGAUUUUCUACAGGAUCCAUGUGUAGCAACUGUAGGUCCUUAAGUCUCUUUGUUUCAUGUUUCAGAUUCCCAGAAGACAAAAUCUGAGUGGUCCAUCUUGAGGAAGAUACCUGUCACUGGAUUGAUCAGCUAAGACCAGGGAGGAAAUGACAUGCAACAAAGUACAUGUGUGCCUCCAUUCAUGCAGAACAUUAUUUUACAAGACAGAAAAUAUUUUCCCAGGAUGGUGUAAAUUACGACUGAACAAUGGAACCCCUUCUGUAGCCAUCAUUGCCAUGCCACUUGGCCAGGCUCAGAUAAAUGGCCUAUUCAGAGGUGCGUGGACCUGGAUGAAUUAUGAUGUUAUCCCAAGGAUGUGGCAGCCCUGGUGCAUGGGUGAUGGAAUAUCUGUAAGUGUGGCCUUGUGAUGAGCUCCUAGAGGGUAGGACUUAGCUCUUAUUGAAGCCUAUCCUGCUGGCAAGUCUGGGGAACUCUGUGGGCACAGACCCAGUUGCCCAGGGCUGGGUUUAGAUGAUAACAUUUUCUUCUUGGUCUCUUUCUACUUGCAUGGGGAACCAGCUGUAUAAAAUACAGCUGGUGGAAGAAUGAGUAGCAUAAAUGUCCUAAUUUUACUUUCUGUCUGUGGGGUUUAAGAUUCAUUUGCUGAAGUGGACUCGGCUGCUAUUAACCCCUUUCUCAAGAUUAGAUGAGCUUACAAUGGAGGAUCUGCUUCGAGAUGGUCUUGGUGUGUUUUAUUUAUUUUUCAGAUGCAAAGCCUUGAAUCACUGUACUCAACAGCAGUUCUCAAAUUUUUGGAAUCACUUUGAGAUUUGAUAAAAGUCCUAUAACCUUCUCCCAGACAAAUGCACUUACACCUACACUUAACAUCAUGCAUACAACAUUAGAAGGUGACUAGACUCAAAAAACUUAUUCAUGGACUCAUCAGUGGCCCACAGAUCUCUGGCUGAGACCCCUGUGUUUGUCACUGUUAGUAGCUGUGGUAGUUUUGAGGGUGGAGAUUCACCCUGAAUCAUCUUAUGAUGAGUAGGAUGCACAGUCUGAUGACAAGCAGUGCAUUUAGGAGGAGACUGUGCAAAGAAUAUAACACCUACCCAUAGAAAAACUCACUGCUAUGUGUUUGGAGAUGGAUGCCAAACUUAAGCAGUAAGUCCAAU
Molecule: long non-coding RNA, 1356 nt
Filed under: Felis catus (domestic cat)
Lineage: Eukaryota; Metazoa; Chordata; Mammalia; Carnivora; Felidae
Description: lncRNA (ENSFCAG00000052672.1)
Source: RNAcentral